This 374-nucleotide ribosomal RNA is filed under the name uncultured organism. Its description in RNAcentral is "bacterial SSU rRNA". It matches the Rfam family "Bacterial small subunit ribosomal RNA", at positions 526 to 897 of the family's 1533-position model. The record is from RNAcentral.
CGUAGGGCGCGAGCGUUGUCCGGAUUUAUUGGGCGUAAAGAGCUCGUAGGCGGCUUGUCGCGUCGACUGUGAAAACCCGGGGCUUAACUUCGGGCUUGCAGUCGAUACGGGCAGGCUGGAGUUCGGUAGGGGAGACUGGAAUUCCUGGUGUAGCGGUGAAAUGCGCAGAUAUCAGGAGGAACACCGGUGGCGAAGGCGGGUCUCUGGGCCGAUACUGACGCUGAGGAGCGAAAGCGUGGGGAGCGAACAGGAUUAGAUACCCUGGUAGUCCACGCUGUAAACGUUGGGCGCUAGGUGUGGGGGGCCUCUCCGGUUUCCUGUGCCGUAGCUAACGCAUUAAGCGCCCCGCCUGGGGAGUACGGCCGCAAGGCUAA